RNAcentral lists this ribosomal RNA (409 nucleotides) under uncultured bacterium. RNAcentral describes it as "bacterial SSU rRNA". It matches the Rfam family "Bacterial small subunit ribosomal RNA", at positions 350 to 751 of the family's 1533-position model. The record is from RNAcentral.
AGCAGUGGGGAAUUUUGGACAUUGGGCGCAAGCCUGAUCCAGCAAUACCGCGUGAGUGAAGAAGGCCUUCGGGUUGUAAAGCUCUUUUGUCAGGGAAGAAACGGUGAAGGCUAAUAUCCUUUGCUAAUGACGGUACCUGAAGAAUAAGCACCGGCUAACUACGUGCCAGCAGCCGCGGUAAUACGUAGGGUGCAAGCGUUAAUCGGAAUUACUGGGCGUAAAGCGUGCGCAGGCGGUUUUGUAAGUUUGUCGUGAAAGCCCCGGGCUCAACCUGGGAAUUGCGAUGAAGACUGCAAGGCUUGAAUCUGGCAGAGGGGGGUAGAAUUCCACGUGUAGCAGUGAAAUGCGUAGAGAUGUGGAGGAACACCGAUGGCGAAGGCAGCCCCCUGGGUCAAGAUUGACGCUCAUG